Molecule: long non-coding RNA, 1041 nt
Organism: Dicentrarchus labrax (European seabass)
Lineage: Eukaryota; Metazoa; Chordata; Actinopteri; Moronidae
Exons: 4
Source: RefSeq, a predicted model, not a curated record
AGGCUCAUGAGAACAGGUGAAAGAGUGAACGUUUCAGACAUUCAUUUUGAGUCGACGGCAGAAGGAAGAACACCGGCAGGGUGAGUGUUCAUUCAACAUUUUUAUUAUUUUACAGUCAAAGUGUUUGAGUUUGUUUUCUCCCUGUGGACUGUAGACCAAAGAAAUGUUAGAAUGAACUCAACAGUUUGAUUCAUCUGUGGACACAAAGUGCUGAUUGGCUGAAUAAUACACAGUGAACCUGCUGUAACCCAGAAAACACACAGACUGAAAGAAAAGAGAGCAGACUGACUUCAGAGCAGAAGAUGAGUGUUUGUGUGGAGGAAGAGGAGGACAGAGCAGAGUCUGCAGUGUCCAGCUGUCUGUCUAUGAAGCGUGAUUGGGCCAAAGAUCCUCCUCUGAAGUUCAAUGAUGAACCUGGACCCUCAGACACAAAAUAUUGAUUAUUCAGAGAUCAGCUGUUCCUCUCUGGUCUCAGCUCUGAAGUCCAACCCCUCCCAUCUGAGAGAGCUGGACCUGAGGAACAACAAGCUGAAGGAUUCAGAUGUGAAGCUGCUGUCUGAUCUUGUGAAGAGUCCACACUGUAGACUGGAGACUCUGAGAUGGAAGUUGUUUUAUUAACAGUGAGCGGUGAUGAAGGAGGUUGUGUUGGAGGAUCCGCUGUGUCCUGAUGAUCCAGAGAGGUUGAAGCAGCAGCAUCAGCUCUGACUGGGCCAUGUUACUGGGAGGUAGAGUGGAGAGGAGAGCUUCAUCCAGCAGUGACUGACAGAGGAAUCACAACCAGUGGAAAACAUUUUUGGACAGUUCAACUUAAAAUGUGUAUCUCAUAAGUGCCAUUUACAAGAAAUCCGAAAGUUUUCAGAAGAAAAAGAAAAAGAUGAAAAUGGGAAAGACAUGAAUCACUAAGGAAAACAUAAAAACAAGACGUUAAUUGAAAUAGACCAAAUAAUUAAGAGCUCAGAAUCUUAAUAUGAACACAAAAGUCUUCACAGUUAAAUUACAAAAUGUCACCAAUUUUAUAAAAAUAAAAGUAAAUAAGAAUAA